This 254-nucleotide ribosomal RNA is filed under the name uncultured bacterium. RNAcentral's name for it is "partial 16S ribosomal RNA". It matches the Rfam family "Bacterial small subunit ribosomal RNA", at positions 524 to 776 of the family's 1533-position model. The record is from RNAcentral.
GACGUAGGGCGCGAGCGUUGUCCGGAUUUAUUGGGCGUAAAGAGCUCGUAGGCGGCUUGUCGCGUCGACUGUGAAAACCCGCGGCUCAACCGUGUGGUCUGCAGUCGAUACGGGCAGGCUAGAGUUCGGUAGGGGAGACUGGAAUUCCUGGUGUAGCGGUGAAAUGCGUAGAUAUCUGGAGGAACACCGGUGGCGAAGGCGGCAUCCUGGACCGGUAUUGACGCUGAGGCGCGAAAGCUAGGGGAGCAAACGGG